UCCUCCCUCAAACCUCGCGUUUGGUGUUGGGCCCCACGGGGAGCUUCUCGGGCUCCCCUGGCCCCAAAGACAAUGACGGCGUCCGUUGGGACCCCCGGUGCAACGAGCUUCUUCGGAGCACGCGCUGUGGGCUGUCCUCUUCGGGCUGGUCUCAACCACUUUUAUUUUACCA
RNAcentral lists this unclassified non-coding RNA (172 nucleotides) under uncultured Ascomycota. RNAcentral describes it as "sequence contains ITS2". Lineage: Eukaryota; Fungi; Ascomycota. The record is from RNAcentral.